UAAAAAAGAAUAAUUUCCCAACGGCCAAAAUCUUCAACGUCGACGCCAGUGACGCUGUAAAUGCCGAGCACUGGCGAGAAAUCCGUCUGCAGCUACUCAACCUUGACACUUCCCGAUGAUUGGUCCGUCGUCGAAAAGCAACGCUGCUCCUUAGCCGCCAGCCCCGGCCGAGUCGACAAGUACUACUAUGAGCCUGGGACGGGAAAGACGUUUCGUUCACUGAUAUCUGUUUACAAAUAUCUUAGAGAAGGGAAAACAGAUACACCUAUGACCAAGAAAUUAAGAGCAGACAACAAAAGCUCUAUGCAAAUUAUACCCUACACGAUCAGGAGCAACUCAUCUUUCAUACUACCAGAUGAUUGAAUCAUUGAGGAAAAGCACCGUAAUAAUGCAAAUUAUGCUGGUGUCAUCGACAAGUAUUAUAUUGAGCCAGGGAGUGGGCAGAGAUUCCGUUCCUUAAGAGCUGUUGAAAGAUACCUAACAGAAGCAAGCCAUGAUACAAUGCCGCUGAAGGCAUUCCAAGAUGCCCAUAAACUUGAUGUAAGAGUGAUUACAUUAACUGGUAAAACAAGAUUUAUUUGCUCCUCCAAUAUCCUUUGAUCAACUUUCACAUCUUGUUCUAAGAAGAAAGAUGUAUCUGUCAAUAAAUGGUCCCUGAAAGCUGCUAAUAAAGACCCAACAAAAGGCAAAGAAAUUACAACUAGAGUGAAGACAGUCAAAUCCUGCAAUUAUUCUAGACCUUUAAAACAUUUUGGUAAUCUGAUGAAAAAUAAUUCUGGAGAAGACGUUCAAGAUUCAAUGACUGAUUUUUCCUGCCAACCAUCAAAAAUAAAUUGGAUUCUUGCUGGUGGACCUGGAGGAAAUAUGUGGAGCCCCUUCAUGGGUGAAUAUAUGGUCCCAGAAUCUGUAAAGCGGAAGUGGUCGGAAACAUUUAUAUCAUCCAUCCACAAGGGAAGCUUAAAUGGACCAGGUCAUUGGUGUGUGGCAUUUACUGCACCCUGGGAGUCAACUUACACUUUUAUUAUAUGCAAAAGAGGUUAGGUACAACUAGAUUUUUUCCUGUUCAUCUGCAUGUAUAAAAAUGAGGAUUGAAUUGCAGUGGGGAUGUCCACUAUGCUGCUUAAUAACAUCCAUUAAGAGGGUAUGAGGCCUGUCAUGGAUACUGGACUUUAAAUUUAUGCCUGUGGCAUUCAAAAGGAAAAUGUUACUUGUCACCAGUGGUGACGCAAAACCAGUGGGCUUUGAUAGUUGAUGUGGUGAUUUAAUUGACGUAAACUACGGUUCAUAUCUCAUAUAUGUUUCUAUUUUUUAAAUGAAACUAAUUAAUUAUCAUCACAUCAACUAUAGUCUCAUCCUUCGUGAUCUCCAAUGGUGACAAAUAGUCAAAUGGAGUCCAAUAAAAAGACCUAUAAAAAAAGAGCAUGCUGUAUUUUAUUGUUAGUACAUUUAAACAGAGUGUUACACUACAGGUAAAGAAUUUUUGUUUGGGGCAUCAAAAGGCAACAUUAUUUAUUUUCUAGUAUCGGUUUUUAAUGCAAAUUGUAGACUUAAGGACUGAAUAGAAAAGCUGUGGCUAAUGACCAUUGUUAGUUAUGAGCGGCCUUAUCUUCAUGAUUCAUGAUGUAACUUAUAAUAUUACAGGUAUUGCAGGAAGAAGUUUGUACUUCUUGUGAACCAUGUCCAGGUUCUUUUCAAUUUCAUUCCAGCAAUAUUGUAAAUUUGUAAAUAAAACCGCUCAACGGUCAAACCGUUGUACGUAUAAUGUAUUGUUAUUUUUGUUACCGAUUGUAGAGAUAAAA
RNA transcript from Ziziphus jujuba (common jujube), 1799 nucleotides. It is a transcript of the gene named methyl-CpG-binding domain-containing protein 6, with no coding region annotated. The transcript has 5 exons. The record is from RefSeq and is a predicted model, not a curated record. Lineage: Eukaryota; Viridiplantae; Streptophyta; Magnoliopsida; Rosales; Rhamnaceae.